CAGUAGCCGCGGGAAUACGGAGGGUGCAAGCGUUAAUCGGAAUUACUGGGCGUAAAGCGGACGCAGGCGGUCUGACAAGUCAGAUGUGAAAUCCCCGGGCUUAACCUGGGAACUGCAUUUGAAACUGUCAGGCUGGAGUCUUGUAGAGGGUGGUGGAAUUCCAGGUGUAGCGGUGAAAUGCGUAGAGAUCUGGAGGAAUACCGGUGGCGAAGGCGGCCCCCUGGACAAAGACUGACGCUCAGGUGCGAAAGCGUGGGGAGCAAACAGGAUUAGAUACCCCUGUAGUCCCUGUCUCUUAUAA
RNAcentral lists this ribosomal RNA (301 nucleotides) under uncultured bacterium. RNAcentral describes it as "partial 16S ribosomal RNA". It matches the Rfam family "Bacterial small subunit ribosomal RNA", at positions 509 to 809 of the family's 1533-position model. The record is from RNAcentral.